GUUGUAUGAGUGGUGGAUGGUGGUGAGGUUGUAUGGGUGGUGGUGAGGUUGUAUGGGUGGUGGUGAGGUUGUAUGGGUGGUGGUGAGGUUGUAUGGAUGGUGGUGAGGUUGUAUGGGUGGUGGUGAGGUUGUAUGGAUGGUGGAUGGUGGUGAGGUUGUAUGGGUGGUGGUGAGGUUGUAUGGGUGGUGGAUGGUGGUGAGGUUGUAUGGGCGGUGGAUGGUGGUGAGGUUGUAUGGGCGGUGGAUGGUGGUGAGGUUGUAUGAGUGGUGGAUGGUGGUGAGGUUGUAUGAGUGGUGGAUGGUGGUGAGGUUGUAUGAGUGGUGGAUGGUGGUGAGGUUGUAUGGGUGGUGGAUGGUGGUGAGGUUGUAUGGGUGGUGGAUGGUGGUGAGGUUGUAUGGGUGGUGGAUGGUGGUGAGGUUGUAUGAGUGGUGGAUGGUGGUGAGGUUGUAUGAGUGGUGGAUGGUGGUGAGGUUGUAUGGAUGGUGGUGAG
Molecule: long non-coding RNA, 491 nt
Organism: Esox lucius (northern pike)
Lineage: Eukaryota; Metazoa; Chordata; Actinopteri; Esociformes; Esocidae
Source: Ensembl